This 993-nucleotide long non-coding RNA is filed under the name Vulpes vulpes (red fox). RNAcentral's name for it is "lncRNA (ENSVVUG00000024547.1)". The record is from RNAcentral. Lineage: Eukaryota; Metazoa; Chordata; Mammalia; Carnivora; Canidae.
CCACAGCAUAUCUUGGUUGAAUGGGGAUUUGAACACAAUUGAGGCUUUCCCCUCUAGAUGCACCUCUUCUCUCACCACCCCUUCCUUCUUCUCUGACCCAUCUUGCAUCUCCAUUUUCCUUUCCUCUCCUACCAACACUCCUCAGGUUGGGGCCUCAGUGUCUUAUGCCUGGGCUAUCGCAGUAGGAAUGUUCUAGACUCCCUUGCCUCAGAUAUAAGCUGGACGUCCCUGCUGUACUGAUUUCCCUACAGUUGCUGUCAUUCCACAUUCCCACUUUAAAAUAAUCAGUGAUUUAUCAUCAUCUGUGGCAGCAGUCACAGAGUCUGACAGGAAGUUCCCAGCACAAUCCAGAGCCCUGUGUGGACACUGAUCUCCAUAAGGACUGUUUAUUGCCGGGACCCUGCUGCACCAGAAAGAUAAGAAGGAGGAGGAAGAGGAGAAGAGAGGUGCACAAUGCCAUUACUGAGAAAAGAGCCAGCAAUUUUGAAUUCCCCAUUGGACCAGGAGCAGCAGUCCUGGUAAAUGUUCAACAACUGGCUCUGCAGAGAACUUUGAGAAACUUCUGUGCUUUAAAGAAAUUCUGCUGAGAACCCUCUGCCCAGAUGCCAGUCCCCACUGGAUGUUGUCUUCCAAGCAUUCAAAGUGAUGGGAGUCAGGACCUCGUGAAGAACAGCUUGUCCUGUGGAAGCUUUUUUACUUAAAUCACUCAUUAACUCUGGAGGGUGAAAAGCACAGUGUCAUGGAAAACUUUGGGCUGACAUUUCAGGGGUAGGACUUGAAGGCAGUUUAAACACAGCGUGUGGGUACCUGUUCCCUGGAUGAUGCUCAGAGCCAUUGAUGACUGUGGGAGGUUCCUCUUUUGUGGCUUCACUUUUGAAAUAGACAAGACAUGAUAGAGGGAAACGAGUUCUUCUUUCUCAGCCUCAUUUGAGCACUUUUUGUAUUGUAGUUAUAGAACUCAGAUAAGCCAAUAAAAGCUAGAUCAGCACUUCC